RNAcentral lists this ribosomal RNA (655 nucleotides) under uncultured Pseudomonadota bacterium. Its description in RNAcentral is "bacterial SSU rRNA". It matches the Rfam family "Bacterial small subunit ribosomal RNA", at positions 70 to 718 of the family's 1533-position model. The record is from RNAcentral. Lineage: Bacteria; Pseudomonadati; Pseudomonadota.
AGGAAGAAGCUUGCUUCUUUGCUGACGAGUGGCGGACGGGUGAGUAAUGUCUGGGAAACUGCCUGAUGGAGGGGGAUAACUACUGGAAACGGUAGCUAAUACCGCAUAACGUCGCAAGACCAAAGAGGGGGACCUUCGGGCCUCUUGCCAUCGGAUGUGCCCAGAUGGGAUUAGCUAGUAGGUGGGGUAACGGCUCACCUAGGCGACGAUCCCUAGCUGGUCUGAGAGGAUGACCAGCCACACUGGAACUGAGACACGGUCCAGACUCCUACGGGAGGCAGCAGUGGGGAAUAUUGCACAAUGGGCGCAAGCCUGAUGCAGCCAUGCCGCGUGUAUGAAGAAGGCCUUCGGGUUGUAAAGUACUUUCAGCGGGGAGGAAGGGAGUAAAGUUAAUACCUUUGCUCAUUGACGUUACCCGCAGAAGAAGCACCGGCUAACUCCGUGCCAGCAGCCGCGGUAAUACGGAGGGUGCAAGCGUUAAUCGGAAUUACUGGGCGUAAAGCGCACGCAGGCGGUUUGUUAAGUCAGAUGUGAAAUCCCCGGGCUCAACCUGGGAACUGCAUCUGAUACUGGCAAGCUUGAGUCUCGUAGAGGGGGGUAGAAUUCCAGGUGUAGCGGUGAAAUGCGUAGAGAUCUGGAGGAAUACCGGUGGCGA